CCUAUGGAGUUCCACUGCAUCCUCAUCACCAAGGAUUUGGGUUCCCUUCGGGUGUUCCUCCACCUGGCCAUAGUUAUUUCCCCACGUACGGUAUGCCUGUCAUGAGCUUCAACGUUUCGGGUUCAUCUGUAGAACAAACGAACCGGUUUUCCCGACCUGUCCAAUACGGUCAAACGGGCCAAUUAUCUGGAGGGGAAGUUAACAAUCUGCAGCAUCAGAAUUCAUCUAACUUACCUAAGCAGAGAAAAGGAUCAGUUGCUCAGAUCAAAUUCCAAGCCAAUAAAGACAGUGAGUUGCAGGUGAGCACGGCAAGCAGUCCUAGCGAGAAACCACCAGAGGGACUUGGGAAUGUCCAAUCCUCAGACGGAAAAGAAGCACUCCCACUUUUUCCAGUUGCUCCAGCGGUUUCUGAAGGGGGAUCUCAGCUUCGCGAGGCGGAGCAGCCUACAAGGGUUAUUAGAAGUGUGCCUCACAACGCUAGAUCUGCAACAGAGUCUGUGGCUCGAAUAUUCAGGUCUAUACAAGAAGAGAGGAAACAGUUCGACUCCAUUUAGGGGCUCGGCUGACUAUGUUUGUCUCUCAUAAAGUCGUAAACUCGGAAACUCAUUUGAGUUCUGAGCGUGAGAGCUUCUGUAUUUGUGUUAUAUUCGUCUUUUGGUCCUUAUAGAUUGGUCUGUAAAUUAGGUUAUCCUAUGUGGAAGUUCAUAACCGGAUUAUAUUUGUCAUCUCGGUGUAAGUUGCUAGAGGUGUCUUUUGGUAAGGUAAAUUUUGUUCCUGUGAAUCGGUGCCUAUAUAUCACUACAGUGUAACUUCCAAUCGAAUAGCCAUCUUGUGUUUUGCCUGUUGUAUCAGUAAUUUUAUCAUUCCUUGUCUUUAUCAAGGGAGUUGAGCUCAUGACUGUUGGGUGCUGUAAAAUCGCUCAACGAUGACACGAUUUCCCGGAUUGAUUUCGGCAUGUCCUCGCUUGGUGCCCAUAAGUAAAUCUCGACUUUUGAGCAGUUCUUUGUUGUGGACGUAUUAGUGAUGCUUGAUGAGGGAACUUUUGACCUAUAGCAUUUGUCAUCCCUGGGGAACGGAAAGGGGAUGUGUAGGGGCAAAAGCUAUUUCACUACUACUGAAGGGGAGUUCAAUAGGUUGUGACCCCAAAUGAAAUUCUUUGGAAGGACAUUUUGUUUGCUACACUUGCAUGACAUUCACAUAUUACUCAUCAUCAUGGGCAGAAAUGAUUUUGUCCCGGUCCGCCGAAGUAGAACACGGGCUCGCCGACGUACCCUUCUCUAUGGUUGUUCCCAUUGUAGCAGUACACUUCAUCACUAUAAACCCCAACCCACUCCGGGUACUUGAGUGAGAGUGAGAAGUCCACGAUCCUAACGUGGUUGAUGUAGCAGGCAUGGCCAUGGAGUGCCUCUGAGUACUCCCCACUUCCCAUGGCAGUUCUGGUGUGAGGAGUCUUCUUCACCAUCGUACUGUACACUUGACCUCCCCAGUUGACCAUUAUGGCGCUGCGCUUCAGGUAGAAGAAAAGGGAUCCUGGAAAAUACCCGAGGACCAGGUUGUUCGUGAGGCGUAGCCACCAGUUGGUAGAAUGAGGAUCCUGGUUCAAUGAUAACUAUCUCUGCUCAGAAAUAAUAUUUCCAGAAAGAGGACUCGCAACUUUUUAAGUUAAACCUGAAUUAAUGGGCGAACACGAUUCAGAUGAAAUUGUAAAAUGGUUGGAACGGUUAAGUCAGGAUUGACAUGAAGAGCAAAUCGUUGUCCAAGGGAACACGGACACCUUUGGGCAUUUGAAUGUAACUAGCCUGCUCAAACAGGGAUUUGCCGAUCCGGUCUAUUGCAAGUAAAGAAGGCAAAGAAGAUUGAGAAUUUAAGUACCAAGAAGAUGCCGACUGAUAUUUGAUAUUGUUCCCGUUCAGAAGAUAUCGGACCUAGAGCAGAGCCGAGGGCCACCUCAGAACUAGUUUGAACGAACCCAGAACAGGUCAAAUCGAAGCAGCCUGUGGAAACGCUUCCAUCAACCUAUGUAAUAGAGGAAAAGGAAGAUAAGCCAACCAAUUAAACGGUUCAGCUCCGCCCAGAAGGAAUGGUCUAUCAUGAUAGAGAACUCACGGUCCAAUGUGUGAAAAGCCGACUUUGCUUAUCUCCAUAUAAUUUUGGGUUCACCUGGGAAUAGGAAAAUCUUUCUGAGCUAUCUCAAUAUAUAACCAACAACUAACAGGUUGUAAGUAAAAGAGACCCCGACUGAAAUUGAAAGACAGACCAUCCAUCCUGCUUCAACACUUUCGUACUUAUUGCCGGGGCCACCCAGAAGCCAUAUCUGGGCUGUAGUGAAGUCAUCUGGCAAAUCAAGGUUUGGAUUCCAUAAGUUUAUGUCACUGGAAGCUCCUAUGUAGUUGUACCCUACUGUCACAAGGAUUGCUUGCUGCACAAGAAACAUAGUGAAAUAAUAUUACUAGACCCUAAAAUGUGAGGGAACAAGUUUCUGUAAGCAAGUCAACGAGGGGCGUUCAAUUCAGUUGAAGGAAUGCUUACAUCACGAUCUUUUGUAUAAGGAAGAGAGACUCGGGUUCCAUUUAUGACCACAUUUCGAACAUUUUCAUUGAGGGUUGAAUUAGCCACGUAGUCCUGUGAAUGAGGAUGGUACAUUUUCCCAAAUUGCUCGGGACUAGAAGCUCUCAACAAGUCUUGCCGCCGGACUCGUCGGAUGGGAAUAGUUCCCCGGGGACAACUUCCACUCUUUUGCCAAGUUUGAGCUAUUACUGGUUUUGAGGACUCAACUUUUGUUGCUUUGUUUCUGAAGGCAAUUUAAUGCUGGGUUCCAUCUGCAUUUUGAAGAAAGGAUAGUAAAUGAGGUUUCCAGGAAAUCCCCGCACCCCCCCCCAAAAAAAAAAAACAAAAAACAAAAAACAAAAAAAAAAGAAAAGAAGAAAGGAAAUAUGAGGCUGCUUUCAAUAUGUGUGAUGAUAACGUGCAAUCCGCUUGUUUGAGUUCCUGAGACUAGCUGAUUUAAUUAGAAUAAAAGCUAUUUAGAACUUAUGAGUCUUGAAAAAAUGUUGUCAUCAAAAUGUCAAUUGUAAGUAGGAGAGCUAUGGUUAGGAAACGGGCCUGAAUGACAUGCUCCUUCAUUGCGGGAUGGUCGAAGGCUGGUUGUUUGUGCAUGUCAACACAGUCGAUGAUAUCUCCAUCUGCACUCUAUCAAUCAAACCAAAAUUGGACAUCAGUCUGCAACUUAAUUUACUGGGAGUGAACAAGCUUUCAUUAAUUGUGUCCAUUAAGUAGCUAACGAACAAAAGGGUGCCUUGAAAACUCACUUUCCUUUUGUGUGUCUGAGUAAGUGCGUGCGUGAGAGGAAGAGAGAGAGAAAGAGAGCAACUUUUCUGAAAGAACUCAAAUUACAACCACAUCCUCUACUUAUCAACUCGAGCCAAUGUAUGAGUACUGUAGAUUUGACUGCAGCAAAAAGAUGGUUGCAUGGUUGAAGUACGGUGCAACAAAAAUACUGAGGACAUGGAAGAAAAAUUUAACAUUUCUUAUAUGGUGAUUUGUGGGGAUCCCAUAUAUGGCAUUACUUUCUGACCAAAACUGAAAAAAAAAGAAAAACAAAAGAAAGAAAGAAAAAAAAAGAAAGAAAAGGAGAGAGAGAAUAAAAGCAUAUCACGUAUUCAUAUCAUUAGUUCUAUUUGGAAUACAGCAAAAUUGUCCUGGAUCUUAUGGCACAUGUGCAGUUGAUCACCAAGAGUGUAAUCACUUUUUCCUGAAAUGGCUCCAGAAAAACAUGGGUUUUGUACCAAAAGCAAAUGUUCAGCGAUGGCUGUGGAACUGACUUUCAUCACAUUGUUAUAUGAAGAGACACCAGAAAUGAUUCAAAGAUCGAGGUUUUAUGAGAUAUUAGUGUAAGCUGAUGCAAAGUAGCCGAAAAUACAGAAAACACGUCGGAGAAUUUUGUUGCCCUCCAAACAAAAGAAGCUUUUCCGGGCCAAGAAAUCAAGGCCAGCGUCUCCUAUUUAAUGAAAUUCUCACAAUGGUUUUUCAAACCAUGAAUCAGUAUCAGCAGAAAGCCUAUUCAAAGAGGCGUUGAAGGAGAUAUGAUACCUGAAUGCUCUUCACUGCAGGCUUAUUAAGAAGCCUGAGUCUUCUAUCAAUAUCAUCCUCGUCCACCGCAGCCUCUCUAUUCAUUGAUUUUCUUGAUGCACUAUUAGCCAUUGUGGCCCAACACAAUGCCAUAGCCAAGAAGAGCAUAAAUCCCACUUUCUCCAUUCUUCCUUCGGCUUCUCAGCAGGAAAAUGACUGAAGGGGAAGCGAUUAAAAAAGAUUGAAAUGACACAAAAAAUGGAAAGUGCAAAACCGAUUCAAUGUUUGUCCACGAAAGCCAGGAACCUUGCAAAAUCCCAAUUUGCCACUGUGAUUGAUCACUUGACACAUUUGCUUCGGUUGAAACAGAAGGUACGCAUUUACUAACAAACAGCCAAAUAGAAAGAAAAGACAAUGAUACACCGACCAGAUUGUUUCUUGUGAAUUAAGUCAAGAUUGACUGAACUUUGACUUCUUCAGUUAACGUCAACACAGAAAAAGAUAAACUUUUAUGACUUUUCUGCCAAAUACCAUUGUGUUCUUCACAGAUUGCAGCAAUGCACGAUAAACUGACUGAAAAUGACCUGCACUGCAAGAAAAUUUUCCAGGCAUGCUGAUUAAGAGCAUGAAUUUUCUCUUAGCAGAAAAAGAUCAGGGAUCUAAAGUAUAAUUUAAAUAUGGGAAGUGCCAGCUCGUCAAACUUCAUAAAAGGCCUUGUGAUUAUGGCAUAAAAAUCUACGAGAUUUAUAUUUUGGACAAAUGUGGCUUUCUCUCUCUUUUUUUUUUUUGGUUGAAACAUAUCACUUACAUUUAACCAGCGAAGUUAGGAAGACAACCACAAUAAACUUCUAAACACACCAAAUCCCCAAGGGAUUAGAUAGCCAAUUAGAAGGGAGGUACUCUAAUCUAUGGGCUUCGGCAAUCCAAUCCGCAAACUGAUUGGCUUCGCAUAAACCUGUUGACCUGAAGUGCUUAAUAGAUGGGAUGAGAAUGGUUUACUUCCACACAUUUAAGCCGAGCCAGCAAGCCCAUACAAUCUUCAAUUACUGUGUUAUGGCUUCACCCACAUGAGUUUGUUAUGGUGUUCCGGCCUGGACUUCACGUUUAACCUGAUGAGAAGCAUGCCUCCAGGUUUAGUUUAGCCUGCCGGUUGAUCAGGUCUGAAAUUCUAAGACAUAUAAGAAAGGCUUUCAAUUGGUGAAAAGGAAACGGAAAAAUAAGUGUCCUUUUUCUAUAAACUCUGUUCCUAACAUCUGCCGUACCAGGAUCAAUCUGAAAAACGUAGAAACUAGCAGCCGCGGUGUCUAGUCAAGGGCACAACGCAUUCCAUCCAGGACCUCCGAAAUAAAACUCAGGAUCUUCAAUAUCCCCAAGGUUAAACUCUUCUGUGUAGUGGUCAAUCUCUUCCGGGAACUUCAGGAUCAUCAAGUUGUCACAGACCCGUACCCUCGUCACUUAUUUGCUCAAUUCUUAAGGAAAACUGCAUGCUGCCCAUCCAUGUUGAGGUGUGGGGCAAAAAUUUCCCUAUUCUUGAGCUAUACACUUCGCCUCCCCACUGCACGGUCUGUGCAAUUUGAGGUAGGUAGGUGAGUGGCUCGGGCAGGAAGUAACCAACAUUCGUCUUCUCAUCAUAUUGAACCCACCAUUUAUUGGUGUUUGGAUCUGAAAUUGCACGGAAAAGUCUUUGCCAACAUCUUUCAAUUCAUCAAAGAAGCUAAAAGUAACUAAUUUGUGAAUUCUUCGAGUAGUAUCUCAAUGUGGUCAUAGAUCAGUACUAUCUGACACUUAAGGGAUAAAGUGUUAUUUGAUAGGGAAGGCCAUCCUUUGUCCAGAUGGGAUGAAUGGCCGUGCUGAGGGCCAUCUUGCUGCUCGUUUGAACAAAACCAGGGCAAGUGAGAUCAAAGCAGCCGAUUUUUUUCCCAGAGUCAGCCUGAUACACAGAAGAGGAAGAUACAAUGUUGGUUUUGCAAUGUCAUACCAAAGAUAGGCCAAACAAAGAUCAAGUCAAGGUGUGAAUGGAAGCCCUACUUAGCAUUAAAAAAAAAGGAAACAUUUGUCCCAGUGACUGCCAAUGAGACCUGGUAUAUUUGUCAUGUUCAUUUAAAUGGAAAAUGAGUUUGGAUGAUGAGUUAACUGUCCAAUAUGCAAAUACACAAGUCUUCCAGUUGACAUACAUGCCAGGAUUCAACUGAAAAGUUUGGAAUCGUUAGGCGUUGGGUUAGAAUUACUGGAAAGCAACUGUCACAAAGCUAUCACUUCGGUUAAUCUGCAAAGGCCAAGAUCUGAUACUUGUUUGGGAGAAAACCAGAGAUGUCCACCUGAGCCUAAUAGCUUUGGUAUGGAAAUCUUAAAUGAGAUAUGUGUUGCUCAUAGUUGACGCUGGCAGGAAUGGCGAUGCAUCCAAAGUCUUCAUUACAGAUUAAAAACAUUUCUGGAAAGUCAGGAGAGCAAUUGUCAAGUAAGUGCCUGUAUGCUUAACCCCGGACACGUUCAUCCAGAUUUAAAAUCUGAGGCUGUUAUUGCCUUACUCUCAAUUUUUUGUGAUUUUGUUCUUGCAUGUAAAAAAGAUUCAAAGUAUUCUUUUUAAAUUGUCCAGUUUGGUUAUAGAAGUUGAGUCAUCAGAACUUGUAAUGUUCAGGCUAAACUGCAAAAAGGUCAAAUUUUAAGGACUUUGGAUGCAAUUCUCCCAUUAUUCUCUCCUUCAUUGUGCCAUUGUAUUUUCUCUCUAGAAAUAUUUCCGUCUCCAUGUUUUCUCUUGUUCUUGCUUGCCAUAUUGUGAGCAUUCAGUAAUAAUGAGGGCAUGGUGCAGCAGGGGACAUGGCGGAAGGUAGUCCGGUGACAUGUCUUGGACCAUUUCCGAGUGAUAUGGUGACCAAAAGGAUUAUUUGUCAUGUUGCACCUUGGUAUUUGUGGUAUCAGAAAUGGAUGCCAAUCCAUUCUGCAUAUGCAAUUUCUAGGUAUAAUUUUGCUUUGGUGCAUAUGAAUCCUGACUCUAUGAUCUUCAUAGACUAAUUGUCUGGUUUUAGAAAAUAUAUCGGCUGUAGUCCUAGCUUUGGUAUUGUGCACAGUACCUGAUGUAAGGGUAGUUGAUGUUGUGAUAAAAAAAGAUAGAAAAUUUAGGUGCAAGGUUAUGGAGAUAUCAAGGCAAUAUUUGAAGUACUUUUGCCUGUGAUUGCUCUGCUACUGUCAUUCUUAGUACUGGCCAGAUUUUGGAUGAGUUUAGUUGGAUGCUUCAUGCCUUCCAAUGUGUGGAACUCCUCAUAAGGAGUUAUAGUAGAAUUUGGGUAGACUGUUGUUCAUCCAGAUCUAUGCUAUUGACCAUCUGAUUUGAUUGGAGUAUUUGCUUGUCUUUUGUAUGCCUAAGUCGAUGAAUUUUUUAUUGUCUCUGUCUAGACAUAACUCCCUGUUACUCAUUUCAGUCGACAGAAAGUGUUAGCAGUUCAAGUCUUUGAGUUGCAUAGACUGAUAAAGGUACGCUGGAUGUCGCUCUUCAGUGGAAUUAUUUGGCAAAGUCUGGUAGUAGUAACGUAUCUCAAUGCAUUUACAGGUCCAGAAGUUGAUUGCUGGGUCACUAUAUCUUCUAAAUUGUGGGUGCUUCUGGCUUAGGCAAAACUUCUCAGUCAACUCUCCUGGGAAGAAAUUUUGCGAGGACCAUAAUGGUAGAUAUCCGUUAUAGUAGAAUUUGGGAUGUUUGCUUUUUCCUCUUUUGUUGACUUUUCAAACCCUCUUUCUUUCUUUUUUUUUUUUUUUUUUGGUAAGGAAAUAUGAACCCUUUUAUUUAUAAAAGAAGAUAGAACAAAAGAAGCAGAAUAGUUCUUUUUCUUUUUUUUUUAAGCCCAUAUUUUACAAACAUCCCAAACCCUGCUCAUGGCGUUCCGUUGCAUCGUCAUCACCAAGGAAUUGGGUUCCCUUCAGGUGUUCCUCCACAAGGCCAGAGUUAUUUCCCCACGUACGGUAUGCCCGUCAUGAGCUUCAAUGCUUCAGGUUCAUCUGUAGAACAAACGAACCAGUUUUCUCGAUCUGUCCAAUAUGAUCAAACACGCCAAUUAUCCAGAGGGGAAGUUGACAAUCUGCAACAUCAGAAUUCAUCUUCUGCAACAUCAGAAUUCAUCUAACACACCUAUGCAGG
RNAcentral lists this long non-coding RNA (8197 nucleotides) under Eucalyptus grandis. Its description in RNAcentral is "long non-coding RNA (EGRA_LNC001809)". The record is from RNAcentral. Lineage: Eukaryota; Viridiplantae; Streptophyta; Magnoliopsida; Myrtales; Myrtaceae.